AGGGAAUCUUCCACAAUGGGCGAAAGCCUGAUGGAGCAACGCCGCGUGGGUGAAGAAGGUCUUCGGAUCGUAAAACCCUGUUGUUAGAGAAGAAAGUGCGUGAGAGUAACUGUUCACGUUUCGACGGUAUCUAACCAGAAAGCCACGGCUAACUACGUGCCAGCAGCCGCGGUAAUACGUAGGUGGCAAGCGUUAUCCGGAUUUAUUGGGCGUAAAGGGAACGCAGGCGGUCUUUUAAGUCUGAUGUGAAAGCCUUCGGCUUAACCGGAGUAGUGCAUUGGAAACUGGGAGACUUGAGUGCAGAAGAGGAGAGUGGAACUCCAUGUGUAGCGGUGAAAUGCGUAGAUAUAUGGAAGAACACCAGUGGCGAAAGCGGCUCUCUGGUCUGUAACUGACGCUGAGGUUCGAAAGCGUGGGUAGCAAACA
RNAcentral lists this ribosomal RNA (426 nucleotides) under uncultured Lactobacillus sp. RNAcentral describes it as "bacterial SSU rRNA". It matches the Rfam family "Bacterial small subunit ribosomal RNA", at positions 356 to 774 of the family's 1533-position model. The record is from RNAcentral. Lineage: Bacteria; Bacillati; Bacillota; Bacilli; Lactobacillales; Lactobacillaceae.